Arabidopsis thaliana (thale cress) is the source of this 306-nucleotide long non-coding RNA. RefSeq annotates it as other RNA. The record is from RefSeq. The transcript is spliced from 2 exons. NCBI's taxonomy places the organism in Eukaryota, Viridiplantae, Streptophyta, Magnoliopsida, Brassicales, Brassicaceae.
CCACUCAGAAUUUUUGAUGAAUUUAGUUAAGUCUGCAGAUGGACUUCCUUCCGCGAUCAGCAACAAACAAAAGAAGAGUCUAUCAAAACAAAAGGAAGCGGCAGCGAUGGCGACAAAUUGGGCAGAUGAAGCUCCGGCGACGUAGACAAAAUGUGUAGAUGAAGGAGAAGUAAAUUCUGCGUCUCCUUUGCUGGCGAGUCAAAGUUUGGGUUCUUCUUUGGCAUCGUCGAUGUUUUUUACGAUUUUGUGAAUGGGGGAAAUAUGAGUAGACAUAGUAAACUCAGAAACCGAUACACCCUAAUAGUG